UUUUGUGGGGUGCUCGAGUGGCGAACGGGUGAGUAACACGUGAGUAACCUGCCCUUGACUUUGGGAUAACUUCAGGAAACUGGGGCUAAUACCGGAUAGGAGCUCCUGCUGCAUGGUGGGGGUUGGAAAGUUUCGGCGGUUGGGGAUGGACUCGCGGCUUAUCAGCUUGUUGGUGGGGUAGUGGCUUACCAAGGCUUUGACGGGUAGCCGGCCUGAGGGGUGACCGGCCACAUUGGGACUGAGAUACGGCCCAG
This 254-nucleotide ribosomal RNA is filed under the name uncultured Actinomycetales bacterium. Its description in RNAcentral is "partial 16S ribosomal RNA". It matches the Rfam family "Bacterial small subunit ribosomal RNA", at positions 78 to 334 of the family's 1533-position model. The record is from RNAcentral. Lineage: Bacteria; Bacillati; Actinomycetota; Actinomycetes; Actinomycetales.